GUUGUCUCCAAAACCAGACAACCAACAACCCUAGAAAACACCACUCUAUGGUUUCUCCAUCUUCCUCCACUCCAGAACUCGAAAUCCACAUUUCCGCUGUCUUCAGACGGCAACUGUUUCUGUUGCUCUCUCUGGACUCCCAAAAGUGAAAGAAGGAAAUCAUGGCGGACAUUACGAUAAUGUAUGAAAUAGACUCUCUGGCGGCCGCGGCUGGUAAUGAUCUCUCCCUCGUCGAUAUUCAGCUUCCUCCUGGCGAAAACUUUGGA
Molecule: unclassified non-coding RNA, 266 nt
Filed under: Hevea brasiliensis (rubber tree)
Lineage: Eukaryota; Viridiplantae; Streptophyta; Magnoliopsida; Malpighiales; Euphorbiaceae
Source: RNAcentral